Molecule: transfer RNA, 83 nt
Filed under: Hypoxylon rubiginosum
Lineage: Eukaryota; Fungi; Ascomycota; Sordariomycetes; Xylariales; Hypoxylaceae
Description: tRNA-Glu
Rfam family: tRNA
About the family: Transfer RNA (tRNA) molecules are approximately 80 nucleotides in length. Their secondary structure includes four short double-helical elements and three loops (D, anti-codon, and T loops). Further hydrogen bonds mediate the characteristic L-shaped molecular structure. tRNAs have two regions of fundamental functional importance: the anti-codon, which is responsible for specific mRNA codon recognition, and the 3' end, to which the tRNAs corresponding amino acid is attached (by aminoacyl-tRNA synthetases). tRNAs cope with the degeneracy of the genetic code in two manners: having more than one tRNA (with a specific anti-codon) for a particular amino acid; and 'wobble' base-pairing, i.e. permitting non-standard base-pairing at the 3rd anti-codon position.
Source: RNAcentral
UCCGAAUUGGUGUAGUGGCUAACAUUUGACAUUCUCAAGCGAUAGUGACCGUCAAGCGCAGGGUUCGAUUCCCUGAUUCGGAA